UACGGGGGGGGCAAGCGUUGUUCGGAAUUACUGGGCGUAAAGGGCUCGUAGGUGGCCAACUAAGUCAGACGUGAAAUCCCGAGGCUUAACCUCGGAACUGCGUCUGAAACUACUCGACUAGAGUACUGGAGAGGGUAACGGAAUUCACGGUGUAGCAGUGAAAUGCGUAGAUAUCGUGAGGAACACCAGAGGCGAAGGCGGUUACCUGGACAGUUACUGACGCUCAGGCACGAAAGCAUGGGGAGCAAAAGGG
RNAcentral lists this ribosomal RNA (253 nucleotides) under uncultured bacterium. RNAcentral describes it as "partial 16S ribosomal RNA". It matches the Rfam family "Bacterial small subunit ribosomal RNA", at positions 524 to 776 of the family's 1533-position model. The record is from RNAcentral.